This 216-nucleotide ribosomal RNA is filed under the name Glomeromycotina sp. Its description in RNAcentral is "partial small subunit ribosomal RNA". The stretch from base 44 to 216 matches the Rfam family "Eukaryotic small subunit ribosomal RNA", at positions 690 to 864 of the family's 1831-position model. Lineage: Eukaryota; Fungi; Glomeromycota. The record is from RNAcentral.
GGGUCAGUAGGUUGGUCGUGCCACCGGUACGUACUGGUCUCACUGAUUCCUCCUUCCUGAAGAACCGUAAUGCCAUUAAUUUGGUGUUGCGGGGAAACAGGACUGUUACUUUGAAAAAAUUAGAGUGUUUAAAGCAAGCUAACGCUCGAAUACAUUAGCAUGGAAUAAUGAAAUAGGACGAUCGAUCCUAUUUUGUUGGUUUCCAGGAUUGACGUA